GUGAGGAAUAUUGGUCAAUGGGCGGGAGCCUGAACCAGCCAAGUCGCGUGAAGGAAGAAGGAUCUAUGGUUCGUACACUUCUUUUGCAGGGGAAUAAAGUGCAGGAGGUGUCCUGUUUUGUAUGUACCCUGAGAAUAAGGAUCGGCUAACUCCGUGCCAGCAGCCGCGGUAAUACGGAGGAUCCGAGCGUUAUCCGGAUUUAUUGGGUUUAAAGGGUGCGUAGGUGGUUUGAUAAGUCAGCGGUGAAAGUUUGCAGCUUAACUGUAAAAAUGCCGUUGAAACUGUCGGACUUGAGUGUAAAUGAGGUAGGCGGAAUGCGUGGUGUAGCGGUGAAAUGCAUAGAUAUCACGCAGAACUCCGAUUGCGAAGGCAGCUUACUAAGCUACAACUGACACUGAAGCACGAAAGCGUGGGGAUCAAACAGGAUUAGAAACCCCGGUAGUCC
This 445-nucleotide ribosomal RNA is filed under the name uncultured bacterium. Its description in RNAcentral is "partial 16S ribosomal RNA". It matches the Rfam family "Bacterial small subunit ribosomal RNA", at positions 354 to 796 of the family's 1533-position model. The record is from RNAcentral.